RNAcentral lists this ribosomal RNA (464 nucleotides) under uncultured bacterium. RNAcentral describes it as "partial 16S ribosomal RNA". It matches the Rfam family "Bacterial small subunit ribosomal RNA", at positions 338 to 795 of the family's 1533-position model. The record is from RNAcentral.
CCUAGGGUUGCAGCAGUGGGGAAUAUUGCACAAUGGGCGCAAGCCUGAUGCAGCCAUGCCGCGUGUAUGAAGAAGGCCUUCGGGUUGUAAAGUACUUUCAGCGGGGAGGAAGGGAGUAAAGUUAAUACCUUUGCUCAUUGACGUUACCCGCAGAAGAAGCACCGGCUAACUCCGUGCCAGCAGCCGCGGUAAUACGGGGGGUGCAAGCGUUAAUCGGAAUUACUGGGCGUAAAGCGCACGCAGGCGGUUUGUUAAGUCAGAUGUGAAAUCCCCGGGCUCAACCUGGGAACUGCAUCUGAUACUGGCAAGCUUGAGUCUCGUAGAGGGGGGUAGAAUUCCAGGUGUAGCGGUGAAAUGCGUAGAGAUCUGGAGGAAUACCGGUGGCGAAGGCGGCCCCCUGGACGAAGACUGACGCUCAGGUGCGAAAGCGUGGGGAGCAAACAGGAUUAGAUACCCCAGUAGUC